GCCGAGAUAGCUCAGUUGGUAGAGCGAAGGACUGAAAAUCCUUAGGUCCGCAGUUCGAUUCUGCGUCUCGGCA
Molecule: transfer RNA, 73 nt
Filed under: Candidatus Coatesiibacteriota bacterium
Lineage: Bacteria; Candidatus Coatesiibacteriota
Also listed under: 1 other name
Description: Candidatus Coatesbacteria bacterium tRNA-Phe
Rfam family: tRNA
About the family: Transfer RNA (tRNA) molecules are approximately 80 nucleotides in length.
Source: RNAcentral